AGGAGAGUGUGUCCUGGAGAAGGCUUGGCGAUGAGGUUGGUUGGGUUGGCAUUAGGUUCGUUGGUUCAGUGCUUUGAGUGGGUGAGAACAGGUGGUGAGUUGGUGGACAUGAGCGAAGGCACUGGGCUUACCAUGCCUAGAGCUCAACCUUUGCUAGCAAUGUGUAGGCCAAGACCCGCGAUGGUGACCCUCCUUUCUCAACUUUGAGUACUCUUGUUUCUUGUGGUGUAAUUGUGUUGACUUUCUUAGUUUUAGCAAUCGAACUGUCAAAUGACAAAUUGGCAAUUCUGCAAUCCCCACGUAAGUUGUUCAAUUCCAUCGUUUCUUAAUUUAUAUUAGUUUGUUUUCGAUUAAGAGAACAUUUUAGAAGGCAAAAUUUUUCCUAUAUUAUAUAGUUUUUCUUUAGUGAGAACAUUUUUAAGAUAUCAGUAAAAUAAAAAGGUAUUCAUUUUAAUACAUUGAAGAAUAAAGACGGUAUCUUUUUAUAUUUUUAUUGAUGAGAAUGUCCUUUUAGAAAAUGAUUAUACACACACAUACUAUUUUUCCGGUCCUCUUGAUCGCUUUAAGAUGUCUCGGGCGGAAAAACCCUAUACGAUUAUAAUUAUGAUAUUAUUCUCUGACCUAAACUAUGAAUAAUCUGCAUACGUGUCAUCUCCUUAAGAUGCUCUAAUACAAAAUGGAUUCAGUGAGGUCUCCUUAUAAAAAAGACCACCCCGCUCUGUAGGUAAAAUCCUAAGACCGAAGCAUUUAAAAAAAGAGAAACUUUUUCUCUUAAGUUGUUAUCUCGGCAACUCUGCGUUCUGACUUAAGCAUUGAAGGUAUUCACUGGUAACAACAUUAGGGGUCUUACAAUGUCGGCAACAACAUUGGUGCCCUUCCGAUUUUCUUGUUUCAUAGGCAAGGACGUUAAAUCCAAAGCUUGAGAUUUCUUUCGACUAGUGGCCUCAUUGAAUCCCAACCUUUUUAUUGCCCGUUCACUUUAAUCCCGACCUUAUUAUUCCUCGAUCAUUUUAAGGUACAAACUAUUGGUGUCUAAAAGUGUAUUAUGGUUGCUUAAAAAAUCAUCAAAUUACUUUUCGCUUUCUGGAUCGUAACUUGUAAGGAACAUUUUAAAAAGGCUGUGACUAAGUUAUAGAUUCUGUAAUUAACUAACCGUUAAUAUGAUUGGUUGGAUUAAAAGUUAGAAGUCGGAUGGAUGUUCAUUAAUUUAAAUAAAAAGAAAAGUGUUGGGUCUACCGACUAGAAAGGUUUUUCGGCAACUAAUAUUGUGGGUUAAUCAAUUUAUAUACCUCUCAAUACAUAAACUUCAUGGCUACGUGCCUAUUAGGUGUGGACAAAAUCGAAUUCGGAUUGGGUUUGGAUCAACCUGAUUGGAUUUCAGAUUAAUCGGAUUAAGAAAAAUGUCACCCAAACUGCGCCCAACUUUUAGAUCGGAUCGAAUCAGAUUUCGAUCCGAUCCCAACGUAUUCGGAUUGAAUAGGAUCGGAUAAAAAAUUGGGUCAAAUUCAAAUCAAAACGGGUUAAGCUUAGCCACGAAAUCACAUAUACAAAUACAAACAUUCCCAAUCAAAAAAGCAUAAAGCAAACAUCUCAUCUUAUCAUACAAAAUGAAAAAUCAAAGUCUUAUUAUUUAGAAAUCAAACUAUGCACUCGAUCUAACAAAUACAAUUCAAUAUUAAUUUGCCUUGCAUUUCAAACAACAUAGAACUCAAUAUAGUGAUGAAAAAAAUGAUUAUAUUUGAUCCAAUAUAUCAAUGAACCCAGAAUUCAAUAUUCCUAAAAAUAAUGCUGAAAAUAAAGGUUAAUUAAAUUGGUAUCAAAUGAAUUUUAAAAAAUAAUCAAUUUUUUUAUGAAAAAAUAUGAAAAAGCAAAGAUUUUGAAGGGAAAAUUUACUGAAGAGAGAGAACCCGAAUAGGAAAGUGGGAGAAUCUAAGAUCCAAGAAAAGGCAUAAUUAGAAGGGAGGGUUGGUGAUGGUGGCUGUCGGUUGAGAUGGAUCAAUCUGUGUAGUGGUCGCGGUGACCAGUGGAGGAAGCGACAGCAGCGGUUGAGCUGCAGCAGAACCUGUUGGUGCAUCGCAAACUGGCCAUGGCUUGGCUUCACACGGUUGCGUCGAUGACUAUUGGCUGCUGUGCUGCCAUCUACGUCUGGUGUCUCUAAUUUGUCUUUGGUGAGUGCUGCCGCUACGUAUGUAUGUAGUGUGAGUUGAGUAUUGAGUAGUGUGAGGGAGCGAAUCACGAUGGAAAUAAAUUAGGUUCAGAUGUUUAGAUUAGUUUUGUUCUUUUUAUGUUAAGACCAACUCAAUCAGGUUUUCGGAUUGGAUGGGGUUUAAUCUGAUCCGAUUAAAAUCCGUUCAAGUUAGAUAAAUGUCAUCUAAUCGGAUUGGACACGUAAUUCGAUCUGAUUCGAACGUGAUUUUUUCGGAACGGAUUAGGUUGGGUCAGGACAGGUUGAAUCGGAUUAUUUGCCCACCUUUAGUGCCUAUAAUAGUUCCUUUAAAAUAAAAUAAUUAUUUUGUUUAUAAAAGUUUUAAUAUUACAAAGAUGGCAACCAAUCAAAGAGUGAUAUAUGUAUUUCCCCUACUGGUGGUCAAAUUUUACUUUUACUUAAUUAUACGUAUCUAAAAUUAACAAAAUUCACCAACACACAUGUCAUAUAAGUAUAUAUAUGUUUGUUUUAAUUUUUUUUUUGUCUUUUUUCUCAAAACAUUAGGGGAUCAAAAUGUCCUGAUCCCAAAAUAAUAUACUGCGAAUAAAAAACAUCCGUAGUUUGCAAUAUUAAAAUUUAAAUUAAGUUUUAUAACUCAUUCCAAUGAGACAAGUGAAAAAUCAGUAUGCUCACUUCGCCGGUGAGUGGCAUAUCAUGCUGAUUGUCAUUGGCCUACUAAUACGUUUGAUUGACUUUAUAAUUAUUGUUAUGAUGACCUAUUCACACCUUAACAAAUAUUUUAAAUACUUAUAUUUUACUAACAUAUUAUAUAUCUGAAUUACCCAUGAUGUAAAAUUUUGCCAUCAUACAAAUAGACUUUUGCUACUUUUGACAAUCAUCUAACUCAUUCAUCGAAACUACAAUCAUUUUUUCCUUGAUCUAAAGAAUUUCUCUCUACAUAAAAUUUAGUACUUAAAAAAUUACAAAAUCAAUAAAUAUUCUCAAUUCUAAUAAUUGGGACCUUAUUGCAUUUAUAAUUCAUUCCUGUACUAAUUUUCUGCUGCAAUUAAAUCAAAUGUGAGAAUCAAAAUUUAUGUUAUUUGGAUGCCGUAAUAGAACUUAUCACACGUAUUUUUAUUUUUUUGGAAAACGUACACCUACAUUCCCAAAAUUUAAGAAAAUAGUUAUAUAAACCUCUAAGUUUUUAAUAAGUGACACCAAAAUCCCCUUUUAACUAGAAUACCCUUUGACUUUAUUAACUAAAAAAAUGACUCUAAUGUUCUAUAAUAAAUAUAAAUAUAAUUAUAAAAUAAAUUUUACAAUUAAGAUAAUUUUAGUAUUUAAAUUUUUUUAAUACUUUGCAACCUUAUAUUAUGUUAAACUAAAUUUUAUAAUAAAUAAAACAUAAUAUAAUAUUAUAUAAAAUAGUUUUAAUAUUAUGAAUGCAUGAGAUUUAUUUUAUUGAUUGUAAAAGCUAUUUAACCCAAAGAUUUACUUAAAAUUUUUAUAAUAAAUACAAAUAUAUUAUUAAAAUAAAUAUAAAAAAUUUACAUUUUAAAAAUUAUUUUAUAUAUUAAAAAUAUUAUAAUAUUAUUAGUCUAUUAGACAAAUUAAACUACAUAAAUUAUUAUUUUUAUUUAUUAAAAAAUUAUAAAGUGAAUUAUUUUAGUUACUAUCUAUAAAGGGUAUUAUAGUUAAAAGGGAGUCAUAAUAUACUUUAUUAAAAACUUGAGAGUUUACAAGAUAACUUUCCUAAAUUUCAAGAGUGUAGUUGUCAUUGUCCCUUUUUUAUUUUUAAAUAUCACUCUUGACCAAUCAAUUUCAAUAUAAAAAACAAAAAAAAUGGACAUCAUUGGCAAGCGGCCAAAAAAUUGACAAAAAGAAAGGUUUAAACACUUGUACUUUGCAAAAAGAUCUUUUAAAAAACCACCAUUAAUUUUACUUUUUUAUUUUUAUUUAAAAAAAACGGCCAUUUUAAAAUGUCAUCACAACUCGUUUAUUUUCCAAUGAUAUUAUGUCUAAUGUCUUAAAUAUAAAAAUGGCAAGUUAGAUCUAGAUGACACGUCAUUUGUCUUUGUAUACAUAAUCUACACGUCGUUCACGUAAUAUACCUGUACACGACUUGUCAUCCAAAAUAUUUAUAAAAAUACUACGUGCUGUUGCAUAUUCUUUAUGAUCCGUUGUUUGACUUUUUAAGGGCAAUGACACGUCAUUUAAUUGAUAUCCGCAUUGAUGACAAGACAUAUUUUCAUUUUAAAUGGCAACAACAAGUCCUCAUAUAAGAAGAAUUCUGCAUGAUUUUAAUAAAAGUAAGAGAAUAUUGAUUUCUUAACAACUAAAUAGAAUAAUAAACUAUUUCAACAAUUUAUAUAUUUUUUAAUGUUUGUUUUACUUCAGAAAACUAAAAUUAGAAAAUCAUUUCUUGGCCUCUGUUAGGCUCGUGUCAAAUUUGGUCCAAUAACGUAAAAAUUGUAUAUAUUAUGCGUAAUACAUUUUAUUUGAAAUAUUUAUUUCUUCUUACUAUUAGUAUAUGUGAAUAAAGAGACCAUUUAUAAAAGUAAAAUUAUAAAAUUAAAACGCUAUAAGCUAAACCAAAUAAAAUAAAAGGUAACUCAUUUAUCCCAAAAUAUUGUUUUUUUUUUUAACUUGUACUUGACAAAAAAUUGAAAAAAACAACGUGUCAUUUAUUUCUUCAACUAAACGACAAGCAUAAAUAGUAUUUUUUAGCACAUACUAUUUACAAUCCGUCAUUUGAAUUUUGAUCCAAAUCGAUUGGAUAUUUAUUUAAUAGUCAAUAAGACGACCCGAUAUAUUCUUAUUUGACUUGUCAACAACAAGUCAUCGGUUGAGAUGAAUUUCACUUAAUUUUAAUCAAAGUAAGAGAUCGCUUGUUUUUAACACUUCAAUAAAAUAAUAACUUGUUCCAGUAAUUUAUAUAUUUUUAAGUGUUUGUUUGUUUUGGAAAACUAAAAUAUAAAAAAAUGAUAUCUUGCCUCUCAUUAGGCUCAUUUUAAAUUUAGUCAAAUAAUUUAAAAGUUGUACAUGUUAUUAGUAAUGCGUUUUAUUUGAAAUAUUUAUUUUUUCUUAAUAUUAAUAUGUGUGGAUAGAGAGACCAUUAAUAAAACUAAUUUUAGAAAAUCCAAAGACCAUUAACUAAAACAAAAUAAAUAAAAGAUAGCUGAUUUUUCCCAAAAUAGUUUUUUUUUAAUAAAAAAUACCAUUAACUUUGCUUUUCUCUUUUUUUUUUUUCUUAGGAAAAGACCUUUGUAAAAUUUUAUUUUAGACAUGAUAAGUCAUUUAUGUUUUGAAUGACAUUACAUCCAAUGUCUUAAAAUUUAAAUGGCAAGCAAGAUCUAGAUGACACGUCCGUUGUCGUUGGAUAAAUAAAUGUCGCAUCGUGCAUUUCAUAUAUAUAUAAAAUGAUGCAGCAUCCCCAUUAUUUAUAUAAAAAACAAGCGUCAAUAGUAUGCACCAAUGCAUACUAUUUAUAGUAUGUCGUUUGAGUUUUGAGGGAAACAACUCGUCAUUUACUUGAUUAACUCGGAGACAACAUAACAUUUGAUUAUUGUUCAAUGACACGUCAUAUGUUAAGAUGAAUUCCACUUGAUAUUAAGGAAAAUAACAUAUCGUUUGUUUUAAUGAUUAAAUAGAAUAAUUCAAUAUUGAAGAAAGAGAAGUAUUAUCUUAUUUGAAAAAUAUUAUUUGGAGAGUUUUUUGAAAAUUUUAAUUAAAUAUUAUAUUACUUUUUAUCUUAUUAUUCUUGAAGAGAGAAGUGUUAUAAUUGUUAUUAUUUUGAUAGAAGAAAAAGUUUGAUUAAAAUAAUAUAAACUUAUUUUUAUUUUGAAGAUUCUUUUGAAAAAUGACUUUUUUUUUUACUCUUCUAUUUUCUUCAUAACUAAACAAAUAAUUUUUUCAAGAAUUAAAUUAAAAGAAUCUUUUGAUGAUGCUCUAAGUAUGGUCGCUUACCAAUGAUUUUAGCUUAUUUUUUUAAUAUUUUUUUGCAAAUAAAAUUUCCACGACCUGACCUUAUCCUCUUCAUAUUUUAUAGAUACAUAUUUACUAAGAAUUUUUAAUUGAUAAUUCUCUGGGUCAUCCUACAAUGUAAAGGCUAUUAUAGGCCAUAUAAUUAAAAUUACUUAUAAGAGCUUACUAUAUUUAGAUAGAUAUUCCAACUAACAUGGAAUUAAAAUAUAACUCUAUGAAACAAGUAACAAUAUUCACUAAUAUGAUUUUGGCCUGUACUUAAUAACAGAGUUUCACAUAAUAAUUUCACUCUAGAAUCCCUAGAGUACAAUUGAACUUUUAGAUAUGCUAUAAAGAGAGAGAGAAAAAAAAAAAGAAUUUCUCAUUUCAACUUUGCUAAUGCUUUCUUCCUAUAUUUCAAAAUAGAGAAAUCAUAAAGUACCUCAAGAAUAAAAAUUCAAAUUUUAGAUUAAAAGUUAAAAAGAAUUGCUCAAUUGGAGAAUGAAUUAAACAAAAAUUAAAUUCAUUUGCAACCAAGCCAAUUCUUGUUCAUUACUCAACCAUGCAAGAUUAGAGGGAAAAAAAGAUAAAAUAAUCCCUGAGGGAUAAAGAAAACUACUGCUAUUGUCUUUUAAUGGAAUGUGAUGUUUUCUCUUUCAAAAAUUUUUUUUAAAAAAAAAUUGUUUCCCACGAUGAUUUUUUUGUUUUUAAAAAAAUUAUUAAAAAUUAAAAAAAAUAUUCUUCACUUGCACCAACAUAUGAACUUUUAACUCCAAAGUUAUAAGAGGAGUGCUACUUACAAUUUUACACUGAAAAAUUCAUUUCAAAUUAAUGUUAACUCCGAAGUUAUAACAUGCAGCUAUUCUGUGAAGCUGAGUAGGCAACAGUAUAAACGUCUGUUCAAAUUUUCAAUGCAUUUGGGAAGAAGAAACUCUGGUUAGAUGAUGGCCAUUUCAAUUUUCUAACAAGCGAACAAGCACUUUUAACUAGAAAGUAAUAUAAUUAUCCAAAAUUGAAUAUUAUAUUAGAGAAAUAAAUCUCAGAACCAAUCACUUAACGAGCAAAUGACAUAAAAUUUGUGAAAUUUGAAAUAAUAUCAAAAAGAAAAAGAUUGUUCAAAUUAAAAUUUGUAAAAUGAAAAAAAAAAUAAAUAAACGGACAUCAUUCUCAGCCUAGAAAGAUAUAGUAAUAGAUAAUUCAUUUCUUCAUAUAGAUGGAUACGUAUUAAGAUAUCUUAAUAGAUAAUUCUUUAGUUUCUAGAAGAUUGCACUAAUUUCGACAACCGCAAUGCCACUGACAUGCAGCGGGUUUAGGAUAUGUCGAUUUACAAAAAAUGUCCCUUCCUGGUUGUAAAAACUACAUAGGUUAUAAUUUCUAAGUGGCAGAAAUAAACCCAACAUAAAAUGGCAACAUAAAAUACAAAUUUUAUUUCUCACUGGACGGCAACGAGCAAGUUAGUAGUAGUCCCUACAUGACGUGUCCUUGUGCCUAGUGCUGCCAAUAUUAUUUAUUGCAUUGUCCAAUUUUGUCCGGUCUCGGAUACUAAUGCUCCGUUUACUUUUUAGAUUGGAGUGAGAAUCCUUGGAUUAUGAAUAUAGAGUGGGAGUGAGAGUAGAGUGUUUACUUAAAUUAAAUGAAAGUAUGGAUUGUCAAUCAGAAUCCUAAUUAUUUGUUUACUUUGUCUUGAAUUAGGAGUAAAUUAUUUUAAAUUACAAUUUUAUCCUUAUGUACAGAAUUAUAAUUUGUAAUUAAAAAAUUAAUAAAAAAUAUAUUUGAAAAAUAAAAUAAAUAUUUUAUUAUAUUUAUAAAUUAAUAAUAAUUACUAAUAUUCUUAAUUAUGUAAAUCAUAAUUUUUUAUUAAUUUUAAUUUAAAUUAUGUGAAUAAAAAUUAUUAAUAAUAGCAACACAAAUGAAAUAUUAUUAUUGAUAAUAUAAUACAAAAUUAAUAUUUUUUUAGAAUAAAAUAUUAAUUAUUAUUAAUUAAUUAAAUAAUUAAUAUUUAUUAAAAUUAAUGUUUAAUAUUAUUAAUUUAAAUAUAAUAUUUAUUUAUUUUUAUUUUAUUAAAUUUAAUAAAAUAAAUAUGAUAUAAUUAUUAUUUUUAUUAAAUAUGAUAUUAUUUAUUUUAUUAAAUAUUAUUUAUUUAUUUUAAUUAUGAGGGUAAAAUGGGAAGAGGGGGGAGUGGAUUCCCACUCCCACCUCCCCCAUGGGAGUGAGAAUCCCACUCCCCACUCCAAAAUUAGAUAGGACCCACGGAGUGAGAAUCACACUCCCCCAUUUUUUAAGAUAAGUAAACACUGAAAUGUAAGGAAUCCACACUCCACACUCCCACUUCAAAAAAUAAACACUACCUAAAAAAUUUGUCAGCAUAUCAGUGUGUGGCUUUGAUGGAACCCAAAAUAUGCUCACUCGCUCUCGCCCCAUUCUAACACCACUCAUUCUCCUCCUUGUUCAGACUGCAUACUGCUGAUAGAAUCAUCAAAUCGCAACUAGCGUCGUCAAAAAAAGAAAAAAAAAAAAAUCCAUGGAUUCCUUAUUCUACUACUGCUUUCUUAUCCUUUUCUCCUCAUAUUUCCUAACAAAAUAUUUCCUCCAAGUUAACAGAAAUCUCCCACCCAGUCCUGCGGUUCACUACCCAUAAUAGGCCAUCUCCACUUGUUGAAGAAACCCCUUCAUCGAACCCUGGCCAAACUAUCAAACCAAUAUGGUCCCAUUCUAUUCAUUAGGUUCGGUUCUCGACCUGUCGUCCUUGUAUCUUCCCCUUCUGCUGCAGAGGAAUGCUUCACCAAAAAUGACAUCAUAUUCGCCAACCGCCCUCGCCUGCUUGCAGGAAAACAUCUUGGUUACAACUACACCACCCUCGUUUGGGCCCCUUAUGGUGACCAUUGGCGCAACUUGCGCCGCAUAGCUUCUCUUGAACUCUUGUCAUCUAAUCGCCUGCAGAUGUUUCAUGGCAUCCGCGUUGACGAGGUCAAGCUACUGUGUCAAAGGCUCUUCCGAGGAUCAGAGAGCGGUGAGUACCGGAUUGUUGACAUGAAGUCUAUGUUUUUUGAGCUAACUGUAAAUGUAGUGAUGCGGAUGAUUGCUGGGAAGCGAUAUUAUGGAGAGAACGUGUCAGGAUCGGAGGAUGCCAGAAGAUUUAAAGCAAUUGUUACUGAGACUCUUCAAUUGAGUGCUGCUACUAAUCUUGUAGAUUUUUUGCCAUUUGUCAAGUCGGCUGGAUUGAACAAGACUGAAAAGAGGCUAUUGAUACUGCGUGCGAAACGAGAUAAGUUCAUGCAGGAAUUGAUUGAAGAGCAUAGAAGACUGAGGUGUGAUUCUGUUUCUGAACAGAGGAGUAGAACUAUGAUUGAUGUGCUAAUAUCACUGCAAGAGACUGAGCCUGAAUAUUAUACAGAUCCUAUAAUCAGAGGGAUGAUGCAAGUAAUUGCUGAUUUGUCUUGAAAAUUUUAAUUAAUUAAACUUGUAAUUAAUUUCUCAAUGAUUAAUUUUUUGAAGCAUUAUUGCCUGAUUAUGUCUCCAGGUCCUGCUAAUAGCAGGGUCAGACACUUCGUCUGCAACUAUGGAAUGGGCACUGUCAAGUUUGCUAAACAAUCCAGAGAUCCUUGUACAAGCUCAAUCAGAAAUUGACACAAACGUUGGGCAAAGCCGGCUAAUUGAGGAAUCUGAUCUUACCGAACUUCCAUAUCUCCACGGCAUCAUCAAAGAGACACUCAGGAUGUACCCUGCAGCUCCACUACUAGUUCCUCAUGAAUCGUCCGAGGAGUGCACUAUAGGAGGUUUCAAAGUUCCACGUGGCACAAUGUUGUUGGUGAACUCGUGGGCCAUACAAAAUGAUCCUAGAAUAUGGGAAGAGCCCUCAAAAUUCAAGCCAGAGAGGUUCCGGGAAAUGGCAGGGAAAAGUGAUAAGUAUAUGCUUUUGCCAUUUGGGACAGGGAGGAGAGUGUGUCCUGGAGAAGGCUUGGCGAUGAGGUUGGUUGGGUUGGCAUUAGGUUCAUUGAUUCAGUGCUUUGAGUGGGUGAGAACAGGUGGUGAAUUGGUGGACAUGAGGGAAGGCACUGGGCUUACCAUGCCUAGAGCUCAACCUUUGCUAGCAAUGUGUAGGCCAAGACCCUCGAUGGUGACCCUCCUUUCUCAACUUUGAAUACUCUUGUUUCUUGUGGUGUAAUUGUGUUGACUUUCUUAGUUUUAGCAAUCGAAUUGGCAAUUCUACAAUCCCCACGUAAGUUGUUCAAUUCUAUCGUUUCUUAAUUUAUAUUAAUUUCUUUUCGAUUAAGAGGAAAUUUUAGAAAACA
RNAcentral lists this long non-coding RNA (10401 nucleotides) under Citrus maxima (pomelo). Its description in RNAcentral is "long non-coding RNA (CMAX_LNC000973)". The record is from RNAcentral. Lineage: Eukaryota; Viridiplantae; Streptophyta; Magnoliopsida; Sapindales; Rutaceae.